UUUCCUUCAAUUUAGUUCUUUUCUUCAAUCUUUUACAAUCAACUCUUCAAGACUCCAUUCAACACUACGAAAUCCGCCAACCUAUAAAAUCCUUAACAACAAUUGCUCCUCUCGAGUGCGCCGCUUCGCCGUUUCAAGUGCUAGCAAUCUUCGCCUUGCCGCUACGGUGCUCGGGACCCGAUCUCACGAUUUAUAGACGUCGCCUCGGCCUCCCAGGCGGAAAUGAAGCUCCGAGCGCCCGUUUCUUCAAUAUCUUCGCAACGGCUUGUCGGAUUGACGAAUCGAUUUCGCCAACGUGUUUCGUUACCUAUCAAUUAGGUUUACGAAGGGUCAAAUGAGAUCAAACUCAUCUAUUUACAAAAACCCCAUUUUGAUGCCCUAGAAUGCCAUCACUAGCAAAUCCACCAAAUCGAUCUAGGAUUUGGGGUGAAAUCAUCUUAGAGGCAUGCUGGGGUUCCUCUAAAUCCAUUUCUAGGGUUUAAAAACCCAUCUACAAGGAACUAUUACAAGAAGCCAUGAAACUUACCUCUUGAGAGAGCUCAAAUGGCUCAAGAAGGAUAAAGGAGAGGGUGAAGAUCUCCUUCAAGAUCUUCUUCUCCUUCCUCUCCAUCUUCUUUUUUCUCUUUUUCCUUCUCUCUUUUCCUUUUCCUUCUUUCUUUCUCGUUUCCUUUUCCUUUGCUACGGACCGAGAGAGAGAGAGAGAGAGAGAGAGAGACAGUGAGGGAGAGUGUAAGGGAGUGAGACAGAGAGAGAGAGAAAGACCUCUCUCAAAUAACCCCUCAUAUGGCCACUUUGCACAUAAGCCCCUCCACUUUUCAUCUCUUACACAGCCCUCACUAGGCGUUCUGCGCGCGGAGGGACCGGUCUCCCCGACCAGGGACAGGUCCCCGGGGCCUCCCCCCGCGGGCACGCGUUCGGGAACCGGUCCCUCCCUGAGAGACCGGUCCUCGGGAGACCGGUUCCUCUCAGAGAGACCGGUUCCCGAGAACUGAACUUUCGAGACUUAGCCGAUUUUCGGCUCUCCUCACUGGUGUCGCAGGCUGGGACCGGUCCCUCCUCUGCCAGGGACCGGUUGCAUCAGCAACCCCGCAGCCUUCAGCUGAUGGGACCAGUCUCUCACCUCCAGAGACCGGUCCCCGAGAGCAACCUCAGCCCAAAAAAGAAGAUUGCAUUAUUUGCUCUCGCGGACUCCAUUCCUAUGCACUUCUCGAUUUUCGUGCAUCCUUAGCUUUUCCAAAGCUUAUCCAUUCGACCCUUAGUCGAUUCUAGACGAGGUACAACCCUCGGAUUUCGAGAGUUCACAUUGUUACAUUCUCCCCUCCUUAAAAGAGUUUCGUCCUCGAAACUUACUCAUUCUUACCCUCUUUUAUUCCUCGAUCCACUCCUCGAGUACUCAGGGGUUCCAAUGAACUUUUGUACUUCGGAGUGGCCUUUAUUCUCAUCGAACUCAUUUAAAGGCCCACGACAAAGAAUGUGAGACCACGUUUACUCACAUUUUCCUCUUGCAACAUCAAAGGUGCAUUAUCACUUUACAGACCUCACUGGCGGUGUGGGUCAAUAUUCAAGACCCCACACUCUAACUUCACUAGCCACUCGGCUAAAGAAGGACCUAUUCCCUCGCGGUUCUAGCGAACAUCAUCACCGUUCGAGAUCAGGGCUACCCUUUCAUCCCAGUGGUGUGGAUCCAGCAAGAUCGCAUCACUUCGAUGAAUGAUCCACCACCACAUCUCUAUAUGCACGGGUGGACUUUUUCGAAUUGCUCAAGUACCCACUAGGUGGCACUUCACCACUUUGGCUAUUUGGGAGCCCGAUACCACCUUAUCAUCCUAUCUAUACUAUCUCAUUCCCAUCUACCCCGAGAUGGCAUCCUCUCGUGCAUCUUGGAUUCUCAAACCUCUUGAGAGUAUCAUUCUCAACGCCAACUUUUCGCGUGGCUAUCCAUUAUCCCAGUGUCUCCUAGAGACCACUUUACUUUCUCUUUAUCCCUUGACAUUCUAGGCCACGUUCAGCCACCACACGAAUCCUCCGUUCGCGAAUCUAAGCCCAACUCACUAUUAGAGUUUUUGGCUAUACCGACCAUCGGUUUCCUCAGGCGGACUAAGGCCACCAAUCCUGCGUAGGUCACUCGCCUAACUCGUCUCAACGAUGCCUAGCAUCUCUCGCUCACAAGCGUAGACCCAAUCACCACCGGGCGACAUUCUCAUUGGAGAAUUCGCUCGCACUCCAACCAGGAGUAUCCAAGUCCUCAAACCCCGUCAAGUCCUCGGGUCGGGUCUCCACACACUCGGCGUACUAUCGAUUUCGCGAUCCAAUACGUGGCAUUCCAUGCCCUCGGGUCUAAUCUCGGACUACCGUCCUGACUAAAACUCCGCCCUACCUAUAGGUAUCAGGCCGCUGUCUCUCACAGCUGACUGCGCCUGCCCAAUGGGCCCAGGCUCCACAGUCCACAAAUGGUCCAGGCACGAGUCGUCCCCAAGCACUACCCGCCAAUGUCGUCCUACACGACAUGCUCUACCGAGCUAUCAACUCUAGCGGCUCUUAGGCACCUAGUGCGAGCCACCAGCCCCCACGAGUGAUCCAUGGCUCGCUUCACACUUAACCCUGCUGAAGUGCUACUGCCAAUUCACUCGACCAGCUGAAUCGAAGCCGCACCUCAUGAGUAACUAUACUCGAGCGCUCUACGCCUCUACGGCGUCUCAUACAAAUCUAGCAUCAGGCAGCUUAGUCUAUGCACACCGCCACACGAGCAAUAACUCGUCCACCUCAAUUCGAGGUACUACUAGGCCCACAGGCCAAGUUUGGCGCUAAUCGACCAAUUUCGCAGCAGUGGUUCACCCCCGCUGUUCGAUCUAUCGAAUCCGCACCCGAACGACUCUUAGAAUAUUCGGGUGUCCCAAACGUCAAGGCUCAACUCUCGCAAUCUCUAUUCUAUUGCAUCGAGAGUUCACUCACAAUCUUGAUUUCCAUUACGAGCCUCGUUUCCUAUCCAAAAUCACCACUAGCCAUUUACUAGUACCACUUGGCUCUCCACCUGCUCUAGCAGGCGCUACACUCUCAUCCUGCUAGCAUGCUCGAGUGCCUACCGACCCGACCGCUCGGUCCCUACUAUGCAAUGUAAUAAUAGUAGCAACUGACCAAUGAUGAAUGCAUGCUAUGCUUUAACUUGAGAUCAUGCAAAAAUAUGCUUGCUCAAUAGCUCAUACCUGCCAUGACGUCGCCAGCACGGCAGGCCCCGCACCUCGGGUCGCUUAUCCAUGGCCACCCGGCGCUCGUCGCAAACCCUCUAGUUGCAUCAUUCUCAACGGCCGCUCCCCCAACCAUGCCGCAGGUGGCACACCCGCCGGCUGUCCCAAGGAAGAAUGGGCCGUCGCCAGUGUCAAGGCCCGGUUAUCACCCUGCGGACACUCCUCACGCACAUGUCCCGGCAGCCCACACUUGAAGCAUUUGCCCUCGCGCUGCUCACAUUGCCGUGGAAAAUGAGGGCCUCCACAAAUUGCAUAUCUCGCUGAGGACCGAAUGUGAUACGUCCCCGGAGCUCUAGAUCGAGAGCGCGUCCUAACUGAAGUCUGUUGGGAACUUGACUGGCCAUCAUCAUAUCCACUGACUGGUCGUCCAUUCCCUUUAUCCUUGUAACGCUCCUCGCGCCUUUCCCGCAUGAACGCAUUGCCUUGCUCUAUCCACAAGGCCCGAUCCAGGACUUCAGCGAAAGUCUGCAACUUAAGUACCUGCACUGCCAGGUACAAGUCCGGCCGAAGCCCCCGCACGAAGCAGUCAGCCUUGUCCUUGUCAUCUCGCACCACGUUCGGGACACAAUGCACGACACGGGAAAAUUCUCGCUCGUAUUGUCUGACCGUGCGACUUCCUUGUCGCAGCUUAAGGAACCUUUCCUUGAGCUUUCGCUUUUCACUAUCGGAGAAAUAAGCGGAGAAUACCAAUCCCCGAAACUCUUCCCAAGUCAUAGGAGGGAGACUAGGCAGUCGAUCUCGCUUGACGCCUUUCUACCAUACCUUCGCCGACUGUUUCAGAUAAUGCACGGCUAGGUUUACCUUGUCUCGCUCCAACGUGUACAGAUCCUCGAAGAGGGUCUCCAUGGAAUCAAUCCACAUCUUAACGACCCACAGAUCCGUAUCUUCUCCAUCGAAGGUAGGCGGGUCAAAUUUCUUGAAAGCCAUGAGGACAGCCAAAGCUCGCUCCCUUUCCGCCACAACCUCUGGGCUAAGAAGGGUCGGGUCACCCGUCCCCAAUGGAAAUGUCUCCGCUGCAAUUCCCGGCUGUCCUCCACCAGCCGCGACUGGUGCCGCCACCAGUCGAUCCACAGUUUCUUGGAGUCGUUCCAUUCGCUCCUCUUGGCGUAUAGCAGCCUCCUGCUGCCGUUGCACCACAUCAGCUUGUUGGCGCAUCACUCCAAUGAGUGUGGCCAAUUGAUCGCAAAGCUCCGAGUCUCGACUCGCAUCGGUUUACUAAGGGGCGCCACUUGUCCCCUCCCGUGCCGAUCUGGACGAAGAUCGCUUAUGCGGUGCCAUCGUUUCCUGAAACAGGACAACUCGAUUAGCUCUCGACCAACUCGGGUCGAACACGUGACCAUUAACACGGCUCAAAAGCCAAUCAGGCGAAAGUCGAACAAGGACGUCUAUUCUCGUCUCUCGGCUUUAUGUUGUGCGCGCCCAACAUAAACACACUCGGUCGAGAAUAAACCAUACCUUAAGUCUGCCUCUAAUGUCCGUCUUAGAGGUUAUGACACAACCCAAUCCAUUACCUUUCGCCACGGGUCACGAGUCCACGUCUCUCACGAGCCUUAUUCUCCUAUGGUUUCACUAUCCUAGGGUCUCCUAGGUCUGUCUAAACCAUUCUCUUCCCAUUCUCUACUUUAUGCUCUGAUACCACUUUACCUGUCACGCCUCGCGACCUACCGUUAAUUUGGACCGGGUCGCGACGCCGCUAACAGACCGCCGAACGGACCGGGGUUUCCUCUGUACGUGGACAGAGUCUCCCCUGUACGUUCUAGGUGUCGCAAUCCAAACAAUACAACGAGUGUUCCAACUAGGAACGGAUAACAAUCCUGAUUGCAAAGGAAGUAUCAAAUACAUAAACUAACAGCUAUUACAAGCAUUUACUUAGAACAUCUCAGUUCAGUUUACAUUUUUAUUUCCAAUUACAAACUCACUAUUACAACAGAGUUUACAAGCUUGAUACAUUUUCUUUUCUUGUCUUCUAGACCCCUAAGCUAGACUGCCUCAGGGUACUGCUACCUCGGUCUCUGUGGUAGGGCGCUAUCUACUGAGCUACGCCCUCGCCUCGCGCCGCCGCGCCGCACACAAACAACUUGAAAACCCCAAAACAAUGUGGAGUGAGAACCAACUCCAUGGUUCCCAGUGGGUACGGCCACCCAAGGGAAAAGCUCGACCGAUAGGUUCGAGGAGGCACUGCAACAUGUUAGUUCAAUAAUAUACAACAGAUAUAUUCAAUUGAAAUACAUGCCAUACCUCACGAUAUGCGAUAUGGAAAUCAUGCAACUCUAUGCAACAACUAGUAGAUCCAUAGAUUCUACAUUAUUAGGCUACUAUAGCUCAUAACUUUACUCUAAGGUUUCUAUUACCUUAGGUUCACAACACUAUCCACUGGCGUCUAAGGUUUCUAUUACCUCAGCUCAAGCCUCUAUCUCUAGCUCAUAGGGGUUUCUCUACCCUAUCGAUGCUAACCACACGACUUGGCUUCGAGUCAAUCAUCCGCGGAUAGCCCGCGCACUGGCUGCUCAUCAGCUUACCGCCCUCUCUGUCUCAGCCCCCUAGUGGCGAAGUCGUCGCACACGCUAAGCUCGGCUCAAGUCGCACGACUUGACCAUCUGGUGGCGAUCGCGUUGCACUUACCAAGCGUGAGCUCGAGUCCUGACACACCGUCUGGCGGCGAACGAAUCGCACCACACCUAACAACGGUACAUGUCAGACUCAGUCACCUAGAGGCAUCCACAUCUUACUUACCCAGCAUGGAUUCAGUCUACUCUGGCGGUCUGAUCCUCAAAUGGCUUAACCAUCCUGGCGGCGAAAUCGUCGCACAAAUGCCACGACAAUGGUUCAAGCUCCGGGCGGUGAUCUCCAUGUGAUUGCUCCCCAAUCCUCCCUCGGUACCAAGCUCGGCGGUGAAGUCGUCGCACAAACGCCCUAGCUUCUACCGGGGUCAUCACAAGUCAUGGGAUUCCGGAAUCCACUUUCCACAGGUCGAGGGUCUAUAGCCAACCCUAUACUUUCGACCUAUCUCAUCCUAGUGGCUAUGCCACUAUACACAUCAACCUAGAUUCCAAUACUCUAGGUUCUAUGUCCAUGUCACUUAACCUAGAUACACUUGCUAGGUUCUUGUCAUCUUUGCCUAGAUGUCUACUUCUAGGUUUACUAGUUCGACCUAGGUUUACUAACACUAGGUUCGAUGCCACACACCUAGAUCGUUCGACUCUAGGUUUACUUGUUUAACCUAUGUUCUUUAACACUAGGUUAGGUGCCACUCGAUCUACCUGACAACCUAAUUGUCCAAUCAACUCUACUCACACUAGAGUUAUUAACUCAUACUUUCUACUUGGCAUUUACUCUAUGCAUCUUAAUCCAUCAUGCAUUUUAUUUAGCAUUUCCAUCUAUGCAUUACUAUUAGUAUGCAUUCCUUACAUUAGCUAGCUUCAUUUACAUGUCAUGCUUUCAUGCUUGCUACUUACUACGCGUUCUUUACUUAGCCUUUACUUUAUGCAUUAUCAUUCAUCAUGCAUUUCUUGUCCUUGUCUACAUGCACAUGCAUCAACAUGGAGAUACAUUGCUAAAACAUAAAGGGCGACCUAGUCGCUUCGGUAAGCACAACCCACCUCGAUUUGCGUUCCGAUUGCUUGUCGACACUUGCAAUCGGCCUCCUGCGGCACUCGACACCCGCUCGGGCCCGAUCUCACAAUUAAAAGAUAUGGAUCUUGAGGAUCUAAAAGGUAAGUAACACCUAGAGGGGGGUGAAUAGGUGUAAAUACGGCAAAUUCAAAAAUCUCGAUGCAAUUAAAACAAAGUAGCGGAAAAUAAAACAGCACACCGAGAAUUUAACGUGGGAAAACUCCAAUUCGGAGUGAAAAACCCACGGGACCGAUCACGCGAAGAAAAUCCACUAAGAAAACUUGAGUACAAGUGAUUUUGACAAAACUACACGACUCAAUUUACCGAUUUCUCGUUGAUGGUGAUCUUCGCCGGUCCUCGAUCGAUAGGAAUCCACCAAUCGACCUCACUGCAACUCCUCGCAGCGUCAACGCCUCAACUCCUCGAAGCGUCCACCGAAUCCUCGGCUUCACGCGAGAUCCACGCGCCGAACCUCCUUCCGGAGCUUGUAGAAUCGAAGAUUUGUGAUGAUUUAACCUUUGAAUACCAUAAGCUAUGAGGGUUUGUCUUCUAAUCAAACAUCAACUUGAUUCUCGAAGAAGAUCUCGAGUAAAAUCGAAGAAUCACGUCGAUUGUUGAUUUUCCCGAAACUUGUUAUGUGAAUAGAAUCAUCAAAACGAAAAAACAAGUUUCUAGGGUUUAGAAUCAGUAAAUAUUCAAAGCCUUAAACUUUUAGAUGACCCACAUAGCUUAUUUAUAUGUUUAGAAGACUUAGAAGUAGACUAGGAUUGCAAAAAGUCCUUUUUAAAAACCUGUGUCGUCCUCAGAGACCGGUCUUCUCGAGGAGACCGGUCUGUGAGAGACCGGUCUCUCAAGUGAGGAACCGGUCCCUCACUGCGUGACCAAAAUCACAACGUUCGGGAACCGGUCUCUCAAGCUUGAGACCGGUCCCUCGCUGCGCGACAGAAAUACCAAGGUUCGGGAACCGGUCUCUCAUCUCAGGGGACCGGUUGCAUCAAAGUUCACGCAGUGAGGACCUUAGGGGAACCGGUCUCUUGACCUCAGGGACCGGUCCCUGAACACAGAAAAGUUCAGUAAAGUAUUUUUAAAGCAAUCUAAGCCUUCUGAACUUAUUCUAAUCAACUAUCUUCAUCACAAAUGAUCUUUUCUUCAUACCUUAGGUGCCGAACUUUACGAGUGAGUCUUUUUCCUUCAAUUUAGUUCUUUUCUUCGAUCUUCUGCAAUCAACUCUUCAAGACUCCAUUCAACACUACGAAAUCCGCCAACCUAUAAAAUUCUUAACAAUCUCCCCCUUUGGCGAUUUCGUGACAAAAUAUAUUACAAAAUUCGUACACAACUCAUAAAUAAUAAAAAGAAGAUCAUCGUAAUCACCAAACGAUAAUCUCCUGCAUGAUCGAUCCAAUAAAAGAAAUUUACACUUUACAGUCUUAAUACAAACUCUAUGACAUAGACAU
Molecule: long non-coding RNA, 8311 nt
Filed under: Ananas comosus (pineapple)
Lineage: Eukaryota; Viridiplantae; Streptophyta; Magnoliopsida; Poales; Bromeliaceae
Description: long non-coding RNA (ACOM_LNC041014)
Source: RNAcentral